CUGGAGGUAUCAGAAGUGCGAAUGCUGACAUAAGUAACGAUAAAGCGGGUGAAAAGCCCGCUCGCCGGAAGACCAAGGGUUCCUGUCCAACGUUAAUCGGGGCAGGGUGAGUCGACCCCUAAGGCGAGGCCGAAAGGCGUAGUCGAUGGGAAACGGGUUAAUAUUCCCGUACUUGGUGUUACUGCGAAGGGGGGACGGAGAAGGCUAUGUUGGCCGGGCGACGGUUGUCCCGGUUUAAGCGUGUAGGUGUGUGUUCCAGGUAAAUCCGGUUCACUUUAACACUGAGGCGUGACGACGAGGCACUACGGUGCUGAAGCAACAAAUGCCCUGCUUCCAGGAAAAGCCUCUAAGCAUCAGGUAACAUCAAAUCGUACCCCAAACCGACACAGGUGGUCAGGUAGAGAAUACCAAGGCGCUUGAGAGAACUCGGGUGAAGGAACUAGGCAAAAUGGUGCCGUAACUUCGGGAGAAGGCACGCUGACACGUAGGUGAAGUGAUUUACUCAUGGAGCUGAAGUCAGU
Molecule: ribosomal RNA, 521 nt
Filed under: Salmonella enterica
Lineage: Bacteria; Pseudomonadati; Pseudomonadota; Gammaproteobacteria; Enterobacterales; Enterobacteriaceae
Also listed under: 1 other name
Description: partial 23S ribosomal RNA
Rfam family: Bacterial large subunit ribosomal RNA
Source: RNAcentral